CGAUGGCGGACGGCCGCCCCCAUGCGCCGCAAGGCGCGCGGGGGAGGAAAGUCCGGACACCGCAUGGCAACACGCCGCGUAGAACACGCGGGAGGCCGCGGGCCCAAGCCCCGGCCGACGGAAAGUGUCGCAGAAAACACACCGCCCAAGACGGCGCAAGCCGGACGGCAAGGUUGAAAUGGCGGGGUAAGAGCCCACCGCCCCGAGCGCAAGCGAGGGGGCACGAAAAACCCCGUGUGGUGCAAGACAGAACAGGGGACCACGGGCCGCCUGCCCGCCCCGGCGCGCAAGCGCAGGGAGUCCCCGGGUAUUGGUCGCAGCCCGCAAGGGCCGGCGGCGCCGAAAGGCGCCGGCGAGACAAAUGGCCGUCCAGGCCGCGGCGGAAGCCGCGCGCCGGACAGAAUCCGGCUUACAGCCAUCGACCC
RNAcentral lists this RNase P RNA (425 nucleotides) under Verrucomicrobiota bacterium. RNAcentral's name for it is "Verrucomicrobia bacterium (mine drainage metagenome) RNase P RNA component class A". It matches the Rfam family "Bacterial RNase P class A". From Rfam's summary of the family: Ribonuclease P (RNase P) is a ubiquitous endoribonuclease, found in archaea, bacteria and eukarya as well as chloroplasts and mitochondria. Lineage: Bacteria; Pseudomonadati; Verrucomicrobiota. The record is from RNAcentral.